AUCCGGCGCGGGCGGAGGAUAUUUGAGAGGAGCUGCCCCUAGUACGAGAGGACCGGGGUGGACGGACCACUGGUGUAUCAGCUGUCGACCAACGGCAUAGCUGAGUAGCCAAGUCUGGACGGGAUAAACGCUGAAGGCAUCUAAGCGUGAAGCCCCCCUCAAGAUGAGAUAUCCCCUCCUUCAAGGAGAUAAGAUCCCUUAAAGACGAUAAGGUAGAUAGGUUCAAGGUGUAAGUGUGGUAACACAUUCAGCUGAUGAAUACUAAUAGAUCGAAGGUUUAUUCU
This 284-nucleotide ribosomal RNA is filed under the name Pseudobutyrivibrio sp. NOR37. Its description in RNAcentral is "partial 23S rRNA. Bacterial LSU". It matches the Rfam family "Bacterial large subunit ribosomal RNA", at positions 2640 to 2925 of the family's 2925-position model. Lineage: Bacteria; Bacillati; Bacillota; Clostridia; Lachnospirales; Lachnospiraceae. The record is from RNAcentral.